RNAcentral lists this ribosomal RNA (404 nucleotides) under uncultured bacterium. RNAcentral describes it as "bacterial SSU rRNA". It matches the Rfam family "Bacterial small subunit ribosomal RNA", at positions 32 to 431 of the family's 1533-position model. The record is from RNAcentral.
AAUCAACGCUGGCGGCAUGCCUAACACAUGCAAGUCGAGCGAGAAAGUCCCGCAAGGGAUGAGUAAAGUGGCGCACGGGUGAGUAACACGUGACUAACCUACCUUCGAGUGGGGAAUAACCUCGGGAAACCGGGGCUAAUACCGCAUAAUAUCCAUGGUUGCAAUACUGUGGAUCAAGCACGCAAGUGGCUUGAAGAGGGGGUCGCGGCUGAUUAGCUAGUUGGUGGGGUAAUGGCCACCAAGGCUUUGAUCAGUAUCCGGCCUGAGAGGGCGCACGGACACACUGGGAACUGAAACACGGUCCAGACUCCUACGGGAGGCAGCAGUGGGGAAUUUUUGCGCAAUGGGGGAAACCCUGACGCAGCAAUGCCGCGUGGAGGAUGAAGGUCUUUGGGUUGUAAACU